Molecule: ribosomal RNA, 484 nt
Filed under: uncultured bacterium
Lineage: Bacteria
Description: partial 16S ribosomal RNA
Rfam family: Bacterial small subunit ribosomal RNA
Source: RNAcentral
AUUGAACGCUGGCGGCAGGCCUAACACAUGCAAGUCGAGCGGAUGAAGGGAGCUUGCUCCUGGAUUCAGCGGCGGACGGGUGAGUAAUGCCUAGGAAUCUGCCUGGUUGUGGUGGAUAACGUCCGGAAACGGGCGCUAAUACCGCAUACGUCCUGAGGGAGAAAGUGGGGGAGCUUCGGACCUCACGCUAUCAGAUGAGCCUAGGUCGGAUUAGCUAGUUGGUGGGGUAAAGGCCUACCAAGGCGACGAUCCGUAACUGGUCUGAGAGGAUGAGCAGUCACACUGGAACUGAGACACGGUCCAGACUCCUACGGGAGGCAGCAGUGGGGAAUAUUGGACAAUGGGCGAAAGCCUGAUCCAGCCAUGCCGCGUGUGUGAAGAAGGUCUUCGGAUUGUAAAGCACUUUAAGUUGGGAGGAAGGGCAGUAAGUUAAUACCUUGCUGCUUUGACGUUACCAACAGAAUAAGCACCGGCUAACUUCGUG